RNAcentral lists this transfer RNA (86 nucleotides) under Candidatus Aenigmatarchaeota archaeon. RNAcentral describes it as "tRNA-Leu". It matches the Rfam family "tRNA". Rfam says of the family: Transfer RNA (tRNA) molecules are approximately 80 nucleotides in length. Their secondary structure includes four short double-helical elements and three loops (D, anti-codon, and T loops). The record is from RNAcentral. Lineage: Archaea; Nanobdellati; Candidatus Aenigmatarchaeota.
GCAGGGGUCCCGUAGUCUGGUCAAUCGGAUCAGCCUUAGGAGCUGAUGGCUUAGUGCCUUCGUGAGUUCAAAUCUCACCCCCUGCA